UGGGGAAUUUUGGACAAUGGGGGCAACCCUGAUCCAGCGAUGCCGCGUGAGUGAAGAAGGCCUGCGGGUUGUAAAGCUCUUUCGGUGGGGAGGAAGGCCCUGAAGUGAAUACCUUCAGGGAUUGACGUUACCCACAAAAGAAGCACCGGCUAACUCUGUGCCAGCAGCCGCGGUAAUACAGAGGGUGCGAGCGUUAAUCGGAAUUACUGGGCGUAAAGCGCACGUAGGUGGCGACGUAAGUCGGGUGUGAAAGCCCCGGGCUCAACCUGGGAACCGCAUUCGAGACUGUGUUGCUGGAGUACGGAAGAGGAGGGCGGAAUUCCCGGUGUAGCGGUGAAAUGCGUAGAUAUCAAGAGGAACACCUGAGGUGAAGACGGGUUGCUGGGCUGACACUGACGCUGAGGCGCGAAAGCCAGGGGAGCAAACGGGAUUAGAUACCCCGGUAGUCCCUGAGCGGGCUGGCAAGGCGCAU
This 472-nucleotide ribosomal RNA is filed under the name uncultured bacterium. RNAcentral describes it as "bacterial SSU rRNA". It matches the Rfam family "Bacterial small subunit ribosomal RNA", at positions 355 to 825 of the family's 1533-position model. The record is from RNAcentral.